Molecule: ribosomal RNA, 391 nt
Filed under: uncultured bacterium
Lineage: Bacteria
Description: partial 16S ribosomal RNA
Rfam family: Bacterial small subunit ribosomal RNA
Source: RNAcentral
UGGGGAAUUUUGGACGAAUUGGGCGAAAGGCCUGAAUCCAGCAAUGCCGCGUGUGUGAAGAAGGCCUUCGGGUUGUAAAGCACUUUUGUCCGGAAAGAAAUCCUUGGCUCUAAUACAGUCGGGGGAGUGACGGUACCGGAAGAAUAAGCACCGGCUAACUACGUGCCAGCAGCCGCGGUAAUACGUAGGGUGCAAGCGUUAAUCGGAAUUACUGGGCGUAAAGCGUGCGCAGGCGGUUUGCUAAGACCGAUGUGAAAUCCCCGGGCUCAACCUGGGACUGCAUUGGUGAUCUGGCAGGCUAGAGUAUGGCAGAGGGGGGUGAGAAUUCCACGUGUAGCAGUGAAAUGCGUAGAGAUGUGGAGGAAUACCGAUAGCGAAGGCAGCCCCCUGG